This 866-nucleotide long non-coding RNA is filed under the name Gossypium raimondii (Peruvian cotton). Its description in RNAcentral is "long non-coding RNA (GRAI_LNC008698)". Lineage: Eukaryota; Viridiplantae; Streptophyta; Magnoliopsida; Malvales; Malvaceae. The record is from RNAcentral.
UGAGAUUCCUGAUCACCCUCUCCAUCCCAAGUGUUGCAGGCCAUUUUGCCCGGGGCCCAAUAAACUCAAAAUAAAAGCCCAAAUUACAGUCCAUAAAGCCCAAUACAACACAACCCAAACAAAUAGCCCAAUAACCCGAUACCCAACCACUUACUUAAAACAGACCUAACCCAGCAGAACCAGCCCAAUAACCAAAACCCUAACAGCCCACUAGACCCAAAACAAGGAAAAUCUAGCAGAAAGCAGAAGAACCCUAGGCGCCGCUCCUAGGGUCUUCUGACCUUUGGUCUUCUGCCCACCUGCUCUGCCAGCAACCACCGCCAACUGCCACUGUCACCUCCACCCACGUGCGCCCAUGCCUGCAAUGACAGAAAGGAAGCAUUAGCAUGGAAAAUAGACUAAAAAAAUCCAUGUAAAUCGGCUAUAAAGCCACUAAAAAUCUUUGUAAAAAGGGUUCGAUUUUUUUUAAGCAAUAUUGAAGUAAUAGAAAGAAAAAAUCAGUUUAAAGGUGAUAUUUUAGUCUCUUUUUCUUCUUUUCGAUUCGCAUUUUUUUUGUUGUUAAUAAGUUUAGAAAAUAAUAAAAAGAAACAUACCUGAACGCCGAGUUUGGGGACAUCGCCGGAGUCCUUCAGGUCACCGAAAAUGGACAAGGAUGGCAGCCCUUGUUUUUUUUUCAUUGGCUUCAGGGGUAGGAAAACCAGAUCUAUAAAUGGCUUCUGAAACAGGGCUAAAAAUCGACCUUUCGCCUUCUGACCGCCGCCUAAGGCGGCGCCGGCGCCGGUCGGCGCGGUGGCUUGCGGUCGAGCCCCUUGGCCGGAAAGGAGGGGGUUGGGGAGAGGUUUUGGAGCUUUUUUUUUGUUUUAAAC